UGGCCGCCUUGGCCGGGGCCGCGGCGCUGGCGGUGCUGUACCUGCUGGUGCAUAUGGCCGCGCCGCGUUCGAUGGGCGGCGGCGAC
This 86-nucleotide transfer RNA is filed under the name Mycolicibacterium senegalense. RNAcentral describes it as "tRNA-Ala(ggc)". Lineage: Bacteria; Bacillati; Actinomycetota; Actinomycetes; Mycobacteriales; Mycobacteriaceae. The record is from RNAcentral. RNAcentral also lists the same sequence under 1 other name.